UACGGAGGGAGCUAGCGUUGUUCGGAAUUACUGGGCGUAAAGGGCUCGUAGGUGGCCAACUAAGUCAGACGUGAAAUCCCCAGGCUCAACUUGGGAACUGCGUCUGAUACUGGAUGGCUUGAAUUCGGGAGAGGGAUGCAGAAUUCCAGGUGUAGCGGUGAAAUGCGUAGAUAUCUGGAGGAAUACCGGUGGCGAAGGCGGCAUCCUGGACCGAUAUUGACACUGAGGAGCGAAAGCCAGGGGAGCAAACGGG
RNAcentral lists this ribosomal RNA (253 nucleotides) under uncultured bacterium. RNAcentral's name for it is "partial 16S ribosomal RNA". It matches the Rfam family "Bacterial small subunit ribosomal RNA", at positions 524 to 776 of the family's 1533-position model. The record is from RNAcentral.